GUGCUUAUGGUGUAGUGGUUAUCACGUCUGUCUAACACACAGAAGGUCCCUGGUUCGAGCCCAGGUAAGCACA
Non-coding RNA from Hyalella azteca, 73 nucleotides. The record is from the annotation of a RefSeq genome assembly. Lineage: Eukaryota; Metazoa; Arthropoda; Malacostraca; Amphipoda; Hyalellidae.